This 305-nucleotide unclassified non-coding RNA is filed under the name plant metagenome. RNAcentral describes it as "partial contains 5.8S ribosomal RNA, internal transcribed spacer 2, and large subunit ribosomal RNA". The stretch from base 1 to 105 matches the Rfam family "5.8S ribosomal RNA", at positions 50 to 154 of the family's 154-position model. The record is from RNAcentral.
GAAAUGCGAUAAGUAGUGUGAAUUGCAGAAUUCAGUGAAUCAUCGAAUCUUUGAACGCACAUUGCGCCCUUUGGUAUUCCUUAGGGCAUGCCUGUUCGAGCGUCAUCUAAACCUUCAAGCCCUGCUUGGUGUUGGGUGCCUGUCCCGCCUCCGCGCGCGGACUCACCUCAAAUCCAUUGGCGGCCCCCGCGUCGGCCACGAGCGCAGCAGAAUCGCGAACUCGUGAGCCCGUCCGGGCGGCUCCCAGAAGCUACACCCACCCAGUUUGACCUCGGAUCAGGUAGGGAUACCCGCUGAACUUAAGC